Molecule: long non-coding RNA, 629 nt
Organism: Heterocephalus glaber (naked mole-rat)
Lineage: Eukaryota; Metazoa; Chordata; Mammalia; Rodentia; Bathyergidae
Source: RefSeq, a predicted model, not a curated record
CCGGAACUUCCGGGGCUGCUCCCUUAGCGUCUGGGGUUGGGCGGGAGAUACAGAGGGCAUCGGGCCGCUGGCAGCCACCGAAAUAGGCCUAAGGGAUUGUGAAGAGGCGCGGGGCCAGCGGACAAGCCUGCAGUGCCCCCCGGCUUUGCGCGGGUUUUCUGGAUUGUGUAAGCAAUGAAUGAAACUGUCUUCGUAAAGCACGUUUUUUCACUCUUUUCCCCAGGGUUCCUCCAGAAAAUGAGAACUAUCCAUUCCACGGCAAUUGGAUGAUUGAUUCCUCCUGAUGAGUUUUCCAGGUGACCCCAGUUUGAGUGACCCAGGUCAGUUUCCUGGGAGAUGGGUGCAUAUGCUGCGUGAAAAUAUGGUUUCGGUUCUGCUGGUUCUGUGUCAUUGUUUUGAUUUAGGGCCUUCCAGGUUGGUUUCUUUCCUUGAGACGGGGUCUCUCUGUGUAGUCCAGGCUCACGUCAAACUCAUCAUGUGGCCCAGGCUGGCCUCAGACCCACAGUGAUCCUCUCGUGUCAGCCUCCCAAGUGCUGAGAUGACAGUGUGCACCACCAUGCCUGGCUUGGUUUCAUUCUUCACCAUGUGCUCUGUGAGACGGAUAUAAAUAAAUGGAGUCCAAACCCAAA